Molecule: ribosomal RNA, 924 nt
Filed under: Triticum aestivum (bread wheat)
Lineage: Eukaryota; Viridiplantae; Streptophyta; Magnoliopsida; Poales; Poaceae
Description: partial small subunit ribosomal RNA
Source: RNAcentral
AUGGAGAAGAGUAAGGUUCUUGUAGUUGGUGGCACAGGAUACAUCGGCAGGAGGAUUGUGCGGGCGAGCCUAGCCCAUGGCCACCGGACCUUUAUCCUGAUGCGGCCGGAGAUCGGCCUCGACAUCGAUAAGCUCCAGCUGCUGCUGUCGUUCAAAGCGCAUGGAGCGCUCCUCGUCGAGGCGUCGAUGGAGGACCACCGGAGCCUCGUCGCCGCCGUGAAGCAGGUGGACGUGGUGGUGUCGGCCAUCUCCGGGCGUCACUUCCUGCUGCAGCUCAAGCUAGUGGAGGCCAUCAAAGAAGCUGGAAAUAUCAAGCGUUUCCUACCAUCUGAAUUCGGCAUCGACCCAGCAAGGAUGGGGCACGCUCUAGAACCAGGAAGGAUCACAUUUGACGAGAAGAUGGAGAUAAGAAGGGCAAUAGAAGAAGCAAACAUCCCACACACCUAUGUUUCCGCUAACUGCUUUGCUGCUUUCUUUGUUCCUAACCUCUCUCAAAUGCGCACCCUUCUCCCGCCCAAGAAGAAAGUUCACGUGUACGGAGAUGGCAAAGUCAAAGUGAUAUUCAUGGACGAAGAUGACGUCGCAACAUACACCAUCAAGUCCAUUGAUGAUCCUAGGGCCUUGAACAAGACAAUAUACCUAAGGCCGCCGGAAAACAUCCUUAGUCAAAAUGAGCUGAUUUCCAAAUGGGAAAAGCUCUCAGGAGAAGUCCUUGAGAGAAUUCCCAUUCCGUCUGAUGAAUUCUUGGCAUCAAUGGAAGGUACGGACAUUACAAAUCAGAUGGCGGUGGGGCACUUCCACCACAUUUUUUAUGAGGGUUGCUCAACAGACUUUGAUAUAGAGGAGGAUGGAGAGGAAGCUUCUCUACUCUACCCGGAGGUUCGCUGCACCAGGAUGGAGGACUACAUGAAACGUUAUUUGUAA